CCUACGGGUGGCAGCAGUGGGGAAUAUUGCGCAAUGGGCGAAAGCCUGACGCAGCGACGCCGCGUGAGGGAUGAAGGUCUUCGGAUCGUAAACCUCUGUCAGCAGGGAAGAACGGUCACUGUGCUAAUCAGCAGUGACUUGACGGUACCUGCAAAGGAAGCACCGGCUAACUACGUGACAGCAGCCGCGGUAAGACGGAGGGUGUGAGCGUUAAUCGGAAUUACUGGGCGUAAAGCGCUCGUAGGCGGUAUGGCAAGUCCAGGGUGAAAUCCCCGCGCUCAACGUGGGAACUGCCUUUGAAACUGGCAAACUGGAGGGUGGGAGAGGAUAGUGGAAUUCCAGGUGUAGCAGUGAAAUGCGUAGAUAUCUGGAGGAACAGCAGUGGCGAAGGCGACUAACUGGAACAUAACUGACGCUGAGGAGCGAAAGCGUGGGUAGCAAACAGGAUUAGAUACCCUGGUAGUC
This 465-nucleotide ribosomal RNA is filed under the name uncultured bacterium. RNAcentral describes it as "partial 16S ribosomal RNA". It matches the Rfam family "Bacterial small subunit ribosomal RNA", at positions 338 to 795 of the family's 1533-position model. The record is from RNAcentral.